Molecule: long non-coding RNA, 1407 nt
Filed under: Homo sapiens (human)
Lineage: Eukaryota; Metazoa; Chordata; Mammalia; Primates; Hominidae
Description: long non-coding RNA NONHSAT220857.1
Source: RNAcentral
AAAGGGGCCUCUGGUGACCGCCCCUACCUGGCAUCCCUCUAACCCAGGAGGAGCGUGGGGAAAGGGGCUGUGGGCCUCUCGGGGAGCGAGCUGCGGGUAGCGGCGCACUGGGUACAGGCGCGCGCUUGGCUGUCGCCUCUGCCGCUGUGUUUGGGAGGACUCGAACUGGCGCCAGGAAAUAUUAGGAAGCUGUGAUUUUCAAAGCUAAUUAUGAAAACAUUUAUCAUUGGAAUCAGUGGACAUGAGCCCCAGGUUAAAACACGCUUUCAAUAAAUGACUGAAUCGAGAAGUGCCUCCCUCCCGUGUGAUCUCCUCGAUGCUGCAAAACUAGAUCUAAAGAGGAGUAACUCAGUGCCCCUUCUCCUGGACUUCACAGUCCGGUCAGAAGAGACAAAUAACUGGCCUGUUGUGAUAAGCUACAGCAGACCUCCCAGCUGGCCCCCAGGUGGAGAGAGAUGGGGAAAAGGAGGCAUCGCAGAGGAAAUGUGAUUUCAUGUGUGACAAACAGUGGCAAAACAACACUGGCUAAGAAUUUGCAGAAACACCUCCCAAAUUGCAGUGUCAUAUCUCAGGAUGAUUUCUUCAAGAGUCUGAGAUAGAGACAGAUAAAAAUGGAUUUUUGCAGUACGAUGUGCUUGAAGCACUUAACAUGGAAAAAAUGAUGUCAGCCAUUUCCUGCUGGAUGGAAAGCGCAAGACACUCUGUGGUAUCAACAGACCAGGAAAGUGCUGAGGAAAUUCCCAUUUUAAUCAUCGAAGGUUUUCUUCUUUUUAAUUAUAAGCCCCUUGACACUAUAUGGAAUAGAAGCUAUUUCCUGACUAUUCCAUAUGAAGAAUGUAAAAGGAGGAGGAGUACAAGGGUCUAUCAGCCUCCAGACUCUCCGGGAUACUUUGAUGGCCAUGUGUGGCCCAUGUAUCUAAAGUACAGACAAGAAAUGCAGGACAUCACAUGGGAAGUUGUGUACCUGGAUGGAACAAAAUCUGAAGAGGACCUCUUUUUGCAAGUAUAUGAAGAUCUAAUACAAGAACUAGCAAAGCAAAAGUUUGCAAGUGACAGCAUAAAGACGGAACACAACAAAUCCUUCCUGAAGUGAAUUAGGAAACUCCAAGGAGUAAUUUAAGAACCUUCACCAAGAUACAAUGUAUACUGUGGUACAAUGACAGCCAUUGUUUCAUAUGUUUGAUUUUUAUUGCACAUGGUUUUCCCAACAUGUGGAACAAUAAAUAUCCAUGCCAAUGGACAGGACUGUACCUUAGCAAGUUGCUCCCUCUCCAGGGAGCGCAUAGAUACAGCAGAGCUCACAGUGAGUCAGAAAGUCUCCACUUUCUGAACAUAGCUCUAUAACAAUGAUUGUCAAACUUUUCUAACUGGAGCUCAGAGUAAGAAAUAAAGAUUACAUCACAAUCC